RNAcentral lists this ribosomal RNA (406 nucleotides) under uncultured bacterium. RNAcentral's name for it is "partial 16S ribosomal RNA". It matches the Rfam family "Bacterial small subunit ribosomal RNA", at positions 29 to 526 of the family's 1533-position model. The record is from RNAcentral.
AUUGAACGCUGGCGGCAGGCCUAACACAUGCAAGUCGAACGAGUGGCGGACGGGUGAGUAAUGUCUGGGAAACUGCCUGAUGGAGGGGGAUAACUACUGGAAACGGUAGCUAAUACCGCAUACCAUCGGAUGUGCCCAGAUGGGAUUAGGUAGUAGGUGGGGUAACGGCGCAACUAGGCGACGACCCCUAGCUGGUCUGAGAGGAUGACCAGCCACACUGGAACUGAGAAACGGGCCAGACUCCGACGGGAGGCAGCAGGGGGGAAUAUUGCACAAUGGGCGCAAGCCUGAUGCAGCCAAGCCGCGUGUAUGAAGAAGGCCUUCGGGUUGUAAAGUACUUUCAGCGGGGGUGCGUUACCCGCAGAAGAAGCACCGGCUAACUCCGUGCCAGCAGCCGCGGUAAUAC